AUAACGCCGCCUCCGCCGGCCCCGGGGGCUCCGCGCGCGCGCCCAAACCGCGUCCCGGAGACGCUCAGCCACAUGCGGAGCCGCGGCAUGAGCAAAGCCCCGCGGGGGCCCAGCCGCCGCCGCUGCCGCCUUCCCUGUGGGGCUUCUCCCGGGCCUGGUCGCUGCAGCUGCUGCUUCUUCUUGCCGCCGCCGGCGUGGCUGCCCGGAGCGCACGAGUCCCGCUGGCGCGCCGUGCGAGCGGUUGUGCGGAGGCGCUGGGCUCCUGGGCUGCUUCCCCCCUGCGCUUCGCCUUCUCCUCCCUCCGCCCCCGGAGGGGUGAGCUGAACUCUCCGCUCGCCGCCUUGCAGCUCGCCUCGCGGAAACCGCCCCCGGAAGGGUCAUCGUCGCCGUCCCGGCCAUUAGGCAGCACCCCUCGCCCACAGACGCGCCCCCCGACGCCCGCCCGCGCCCCUCGCGCAGAAUCUAGAUUUUAUUUCCAUUCGAUCAAGAAGGAAACUGCUAUUCAGCCUGAUGGCAAAUACCUUCAGAAGUGUGGCAGGGCGACGGCGACGUGGUCUUGUUCCCAGAAGAGAUUGGGUGACAUAUAUGCUUUGAUGCUGUGGCACAGCCCAGAGAUCUGAAAUGGAAAUCCUGCAAAAGCUCUAGAGUUCUGUUCUCAUUUUGCACCUGCACAGAUCCGAACUGCCUAAGGAGCACAUUACUGUGCCUCAUCUCAGACUGCUUGGACCAAACCCAACCGCCAUGUAAUUCCAUUGAAUUUAAGUGGAGUUAUGGCAGGCAAAAGCAAAACAACAACAACAAAACUGUUUGUCCCCGUGUCAGUUUCAGUUUAUUAGUUAAUUUUUCUAGUAGGGCUGUUUCCCAUACUAUUUGGUACCAUUGGUCCCUGCUUACUCCUGACAGGUCUCUCCAGUGUCUGGUUAUGGUAUUUCUGGCUGCUGAGAGCAGGUGGGUUAUGAGUUCUUUGUGGUGUAAAUGGGCAUUGUUGUCUUGGAAGAUGUUUAGUAGGGCCAAUUCUGGUAUGGCUCCCCUUUAUCACACACACAGCCCAACAGGACAAUGGCAAUAAUCCACCAACAGCAUACAAAUCAAUAUGGCUAACCUGAUCCAAAACACCCACCCACCUCACUCACACACGAAAACAAAGAUCACCACAGCCAAUCACAAGCAAACAAUCACACCCUAGGCCAACCCCAACCUCUCUCACCACCAAAGGAACACAAGUGAACAACACAAACAACGCUGACACCAAACUCUACACACAUUAAACAUAAUAGAAACACCGCCACCCGACCCCACCCCCAUCCACCUUCCCUCUCUCCACCCCCCCUUUUCUUCUCUCUUUCUUUUUUCUUCUCUCGCUAAUGCCUCAACAAAUGAAAUGGAUUUGUAAAAAUGUUACAUGAAAAAAACAACAACAAAAAAACGAGGCACUACACUUCUGUAAAACAAGAAAAUCCUUAAUAAAAUAUUAAAAAACAACAACAACAACAACAAAACUGGCCUUGCGGGUUUGUAAAUGAACUACAGUUGGCGGGGGGGGGGGAGUUAGAGGGUGUCGGUGAUAAGCAAGAGCAGUGGCGAAAGGAGCAUAUCUCCUAGUUAGUUUUGUACAGCUGACACUAACUCCAUUGUGAGAUAAGUCUUACCGACUGUGGGAAAAGCAGCGGGGAAAGACUCACACCAGCAUCCAACUAGUAUUUAAUGGAAAAAAACAGAUCUGGAAAUCUUGACAGUAUCUGCUCCCCUCUCUCCCAAUCCUCCUCCCCCCCCCCCGCCCUCCAUCCCUUCCAAAGAAGCAAUGAAAGUAACUUGUAAAGUAUCAUUUGCUUCAGUUCCUAGUCCAAACAUGCAUUUCCUCAACUGGCUUUAUUUUUUGGGGGGGAGGGUAUUACUUUCAGAGGAGAGAAGGUGGGUGGUUUGGGGGGGGGUGGCUUAAGUGGAUGUUUAUUUUCUGCCAGAGAACAGGAGCUGUUUCUCGGCAUCAUCAAAAAAAAAAGAUGAAUCAUUGUUUAAUUAAAAAAAGAUAUAUCAAGUAACCUCAAGAUAAGUUUUGGGAAUCUCGGUUAUAAAAGGGAACACCCAUGCAGUGCAAAUCCCAGUAGAAGAAUAGAUUGACUUUCUUAUAUCCUCCAACUCAAUGAGCAUUUUAGUGUUGGCUCUGGGGGUGGGUGGAGGGGGGGGAACCACCCACACAAGAGCAGCAGAUGGAAAGGAAAACAUUUCGCCGUCUUCUCUGCAGUGUAAGGAUAAAAUGUGCUGGAUAUAUAAAUGAAAAUUAAUCCCUUUCAAGUAAAUACCUGAAGGUUGGACACAUUUCCUUUGCCACUAGAGGUGUAUAUCAGAAGGGAAGACAAAACUGAGAAAACUUCUACAAAGGAUGGGGAACCUGUGGCACUUUCUGCAGUUCUUGGACUCCCAGAAGCCUCAGCCAUCGUGGGCGAUCAUGAUGGGAGUUGAAGACCAACAACAACAGCAGGACCA
Long non-coding RNA from Podarcis muralis (Common wall lizard), 2484 nucleotides. Lineage: Eukaryota; Metazoa; Chordata; Lepidosauria; Squamata; Lacertidae. The record is from Ensembl.